CUUGAUCCUUUGUUUUGUGUAAUCACUAUCAAUACUCAAAUUCAAUUUAUUAGAAUUAAAUGCAAUUUGUUUAUGAUAAUCAAAAUCAGAAGUCAACCAUUAGGCCAACAAAAGUAACUAUAGCAUUGGAAGCAAUGACAUUUUGGACUUCAAAAUCUUCUUCAGUAACUUCGUCCUCAAUCUCAAUUGCUUGGCUUCCCUCUGUUAGAGCCUGCGGUUCAUUUCCCUCCUUUAAGAAUUCUGACCUUGGCUCAGAGAUCUUGAAGGUCUGAAGGUUGGUCUCUAUUCACUCUACCUCUCUGUGUAGGCGUACCUCUGUCAGAAUGCACCAAAGCUUUGGUACACCUUCGUCAGAUGGAAAUUGGCGAUAUAGUAUUUCUUAGCUUCAUUUUCGACAGAUUCAACCUCCUUUCCCGCCAUCUCCACCUCUUCCACCAAACUAGUAACUUCGGAGUUCAGCUGCCUUACUUGCUCUUUUAGAACAACAUUCUCCUUAUUCACCAACUCUAGGGCCUUAACAGCAAGGCGUUUGUGACGCCCCGAACUUAGGCUUCGGGGGUCACAUACUAAACAUAGUAACUUCUGCCUUUGGUACAUGUAAAUACUCUUAAAUAGAAGUAUUACAUGUUAGAAAACUAUUUUCAAUUUGGUAAAAUAUCUCUCAUGAAAUUUAAUGGCCAGCAGAAGUGCAUGUCGACGUGGAAUUAAACUUCACAAAAAAAGGACUCGGUACUGCCACAGUUAGUUAGGGCAGCAAGUUCAACUAUUUUUAUAAAAUUCAUCCCAACUCCGUUUUCUAUGAAAUUUGCGGCAUUAGAAAUAUAAUUUCAAGUAGUUUCCUAGGUUAAAAUAUGAGAAUUUUUUGAGAUCAUAUAGUAUGGACGUUUUACUGAAAACAGUGUAGUGUUGCACAGAAAAUCCAGAUUGACUCUUCAACGUUUAAAAAUUCAUAUCUCAGGCCACGGACAUCCAAAUUGAGUGAUUCUUGCG
This 990-nucleotide long non-coding RNA is filed under the name Olea europaea subsp. europaea. The record is from RNAcentral. Lineage: Eukaryota; Viridiplantae; Streptophyta; Magnoliopsida; Lamiales; Oleaceae.